UACGGGGGGGGCGAAGCGUUGUUCGGAAUUACUGGGCGUAAAGGGCUCGUAGGUGGCCAACUAAGUCAGACGUGAAAUCCCUCGGCUUAACCGGGGAACUGCGUCUGAUACUGGAUGGCUUGAGUUUGGGAGAGGGACGCGGAAUUCCAGGUGUAGCGGUGAAAUGCGUAGAUAUCUGGAGGAACACCGGUGGCGAAGGCGGCGUCCUGGACCAACACUGACACUGAUGAGCGAAAGCCAGGGGAGCAAACGGG
RNAcentral lists this ribosomal RNA (254 nucleotides) under uncultured bacterium. Its description in RNAcentral is "partial 16S ribosomal RNA". It matches the Rfam family "Bacterial small subunit ribosomal RNA", at positions 524 to 776 of the family's 1533-position model. The record is from RNAcentral.